This 813-nucleotide ribosomal RNA is filed under the name Plebeia sp. B CR-2009. Its description in RNAcentral is "eukaryotic LSU rRNA". It matches the Rfam family "Eukaryotic large subunit ribosomal RNA", at positions 402 to 939 of the family's 3401-position model. Lineage: Eukaryota; Metazoa; Arthropoda; Insecta; Hymenoptera; Apidae. The record is from RNAcentral.
AAACCGUUCAGGGGUAAACCUAAAAAACCCAAAAGAUCGAAUGGGGAGAUUCAUCGUCGACGGCGCUGGCUACCGUUGGUGCGCGAUGCUCCGGGUGGGCCCUUGCGGUUCCAUUAGCGUGUGGCACACCACCUUCGGAUCGAACGUUCCGGCGUCGUAGUCGUGCACUUCUCCCCUAGUAGGACGUCGCGACCCGUUGUGUGUCGGUCUACGGCCCGAGUGGGCGCCUGUCGCGUCGUUUCGGCGCACGCGGCAGACCCUCGGUCGCCCGGCCGGCUGCACGACGGUACACUCACGGUAUCGGGCCGCAACCAGUCCAUUCUCGAAUGUGUGUGCGUCCAACCCGCCGCAAGCUCGGUCAGUUCUUACCCGGAGGUACGGACCCUGUGCCGUCCCCGGGCCUGGCCAGCUGUUAGCAGGCGGUGUCCUCGGACUGGCCAAAUCUCAGAUUACCGGUCAGCGACGCUAUUGCUUUGGGUACUCUCAGGACCCGUCUUGAAACACGGACCAAGGAGUCUAACAUGUGCGCGAGUCAUUGGGAUGCAUAAACCUAAAGGCGAAAUGAAAGUGAAAGUCGGCCUUCGCGCCGAUCGAGGGAGGAUGGGCCGCGUAACCAUGCGGCCUCGCACUCCCGGGGCGUCUCGUUCUCAUUGCGAGAAGAGGCGCACCUAGAGCGUACACGUUGGGACCCGAAAGAUGGUGAACUAUGCCUGGUCAGGACGAAGUCAGGGGAAACCCUGAUGGAGGUCCGUAGCGAUUCUGACGUGCAAAUCGAUCGUCGGAACUGGGUAUAGGGGCGAAAGACUAAUCGAA